RNAcentral lists this small nuclear RNA (105 nucleotides) under Dasypus novemcinctus (nine-banded armadillo). Lineage: Eukaryota; Metazoa; Chordata; Mammalia; Cingulata; Dasypodidae. The record is from RNAcentral.
GUGCUCACUUAGGCAGUACAUAUACUAAAACUGUUACAAUACAGAGAUAUUAAAUGUCCCCUACAGAGGAAUGACAUGAAAAUUCAAGAAGCAUUCCACAGGGCU